UUCUUGAAUAUAAAGAAAAGACGAACAGCUCAGUAACUCUUAUUUUAUUUGAUGUAUUAGGACUAUAACUAUGUUAAAUUAUAGAUAACAAUAAUACAAUAAGAAUAAGAUCUAUCAGUUAGUUGUUAAGGUAAUGGCUUAACAAGACUAUGACGGAUAACGGUAUUACUUUGUAAUAUUCCGGAGAAGGAGCCUGAGAGAUUGCUACUAAGUCUAAGGAUUGCAGCAGGGGCGAAACUUGACCUAUGAUAUGAUAUUGAGGCAGUUAUGAGUAGUAUUUUAUAAUUAUUGUAGUAUUGUAAGUAUAUGCUACAAGAUAAAUCGGAGGGCAAAUCGAGUGCCAGCAGCCGCGGUAAUACUUGUUCCGAUAGUGUGUAUGAUGAUUGAUGCAGUUAAAAAGUCUGUAGUUUAUAUUUAAUAAACAUUGUGAGGUAUAUUGUAUGGUUAGGAGAGAGAUGAAAUGUGAUAACCCUAACUGGAUGAACAGAAGCGAAAGCUAUAUACUUAAAUGUAUUAUUAGAACAAGGACGUAAGCUAGAGGAUCGAAGAUGAUUAGAUACCAUUGUAGUUCUAGCAGUAAACUAUGUUGAAUCAUAGAUAUACAAAUUGUGUAUUUAUGUAAAGAAAUUAAGAUUAUAUUGACUCUGGGGAUAGUAUGAUCGCAAGAUUGAAAAUUAAAGAAAUUGACGGAAGAAUACCACAAGGAGUGGAUUGUGCGGC
This 720-nucleotide ribosomal RNA is filed under the name Nosema granulosis. Its description in RNAcentral is "partial small subunit ribosomal RNA". It matches the Rfam family "Microsporidia small subunit ribosomal RNA", at positions 57 to 823 of the family's 1311-position model. Lineage: Eukaryota; Fungi; Microsporidia; Nosematidae. The record is from RNAcentral.